Molecule: ribosomal RNA, 318 nt
Filed under: uncultured eukaryote
Lineage: Eukaryota
Description: partial 18S ribosomal RNA
Rfam family: Eukaryotic small subunit ribosomal RNA
Source: RNAcentral
CCCUUAGAUGUCCUGGGCCGCACGCGUGCUACACUGACGCAUACAGCGAGCACUUUCCAGUUCCGAGAGGCUACUGGUAAUCAUCAAUAUGCGUCGUGAUGGGGAUAGAUCUUUGGAAUUCUGGAUUUUGAACGAGGAAUGCCUAGUAAUCGCAGGUCAUUAGCCUGCGAUGAUUAAGUCCCUGCCCUUUGUACACACCGCCCGUCGCUACUACCGAUUUCGAGUGGUCAGGUGAAUCUUUCGGACUGUGGGCGCCCUUGAGGUGUUCGCGGAAAGUCAGGUAAAUCUUAUCACUUAGAGGAAGUAAAAGUCGUAACA